GUUAAAAGAUGGAGUUUUAACAAUUCCACUACCAAAUUGCCACCUGGACCAUGGGAACUACCCCUCAUAGGAAACUUACAUCAGAUUAUCAGCAGAUCAUUGCCCCAUCACCGCUUCAAAAUUUUGGCUGAUAAAUAUGGACCUUUAAUGCACCUUAAACUAGGAGAGGUACCAUACAUAAUAGUUAGUUCACCAGAAAUUGCCAAAGAGAUUAUGAAAACACAUGACCUUACCUUUAGUGAUAGGCCAAACCUUCUUUUGGCCACAAUAUUAACUUACAAUGCUACUGAUGUUAUAUUCUCUAAAUAUGGAGAACGGUGGAGGCAACUACGAAAGAUAUGUGUUGUAGAGCUAUUAAGUGCAAAGCGUGUCCAAUCAUUUAGGUCCACAAGAGAAGAUGAAGUAUCAAAUCUUGCUACAUCAAUAACUGCAAGUGAAGGAUCAAUUGUUAAUCUCACUCAUAAGAUUUUCUCAAUGACAUAUGGGAUAACAACGCGGGCGGCUUUUGGCAAAAGGAGCAAACACCAGCAAUCGUUUAAAUCAGCAGUAGAGGAAAUAGUAAGUUUGUUGGGAGGCAUUUGUAUUGUUGAUUUGUAUCCUUCUAUUAAAUUGCUUCAAUGCGUGAGUAGGGCGAAGGCCAAAAUGGAAAAACUUCACAAAGAGAUUGAUAUGAUAUUGCAAGACAUUAUCGACGAUCACAAAAGCAUUCACAAGGAAGAUAGCAAUGAAGAAUAUCUAGUAGAUGUUCUUCUCAAGAUUCAACAGGAAAAUUAUCACUCACAACAUCCUUUAACCGAUGACAAUAUAAAGUCAAUCAUCCAGGUUAGUCAACAAUCAAAAGUGUUAGAAAGUUUAUUUCAAAAUUAAAAACUAGUUUAUAAAUUUGCAUAUAUGCUUAGAAGUCAGAUUUCCUAGAGGAAGAAAAUAAGAUUAUCUUGAUUAAUAAUAGUAUUUUGGUGAGAACAUCAUAUUAAUGACUUAACUUUUGUUUAGAGAAAUAGAUCGUGUUAAUGUUAAUCCAUUUGUAGGACAUAUUCGAUGCUGGUACCGAAACAUCGUCAACGACUGUGUUAUGGGCGAUAUCUGAGAUGGUAAAGAAUCCAAAGGUGAUGGAAGAAGCACAAGCUGAGGUAAGAAGAGUUUUUGAUAGGAAGGGGUUUGUGGAUGAGACAGAGUUGCACCAAUUGAUAUACUUAAAAUCUGUGAUCAAGGAAACAAUGAGGCUACAUCCAACCGUACCGUUGUUACUUCCAAGAGAAAGUAGGGAGAGAUGCCAAAUCAAUGGGUAUGAAAUCCCAGCUAAGACAAGGGUCAUGGUUAAUGCUUGGGCUAUUGGAAGAGAUCCAAGGUAUUGGGUUGAUGCUGAAAGUUUUAAACCUGAGAGGUUUGUUAAUAGUCCAAUUGAUUUCAAAGGCACAGACUUUGAAUACAUACCAUUUGGUGCUGGAAGAAGGAUGUGUCCCGGAAUUGCAUUUGCCUUACCCAACGUUGAAUUGCCUCUUGCUAGUUUACUUUACCACUUUGAUUGGAAGCUUCCCAAUAAAAUGAAGAAUGAAGAACUAGAUAUGACCGAGUCAUUUGGGAUUACUGCAGGUAGAAAGCACAAUCUAUGCUUAAUUCCUAUUACUCGUCGUCUUUAAUAUGUAUUGUCUAAGCAAACAAGUUCAGAAACGACGUUCCUAAUAAAAUUUGUAUUGGUUAUCUUUACGUAUAGGUUCACUAUAUGUUGUCUAAAAUUUGUGUAUGAUAUUUGUUCCACAAACAAAUAUAGAAUUUAUGUUGAAAGGAAGUUGCGAACUAUUUGUACAGUAUUGUGUAAUACAUUAACCAGAGAAGAAUCUUUUCCUUGACUGCCAAGGAAGAAAUCCACCUAAAAUCGAUAGCAUAUGAAGAAUGAAGAAGGGUUGUGAGGCAAUCAACAUCACACAAGUAACUUACCUUAAAAAAAUAGAGAAACAAUAAAUCAAUGAGAAGUAAUUAACAAUGCUUAUAUAGGACCAUAAUCAUAAAUAUAUAAAAAUGCUAAAUCCAUAUUAAUGGUUAUGAAAUCUAAUUCUUCCUCUCUGUUAAUCUUGUACUUUACACUAAUAGUGGUAGCUUUCCCUAUAUGGGUCUUAUAACAAUAACAUAAAAAACAUAAUGCUAUGUUCGCCAGUUCAUUUUUACAACAGAAGCAUUUGUAUCAUUAAAUCUAAAUAUGAAAAAGAACAUUCUUGGAGAAUCUUUGCAAAAAGGGUAGAUUAAAGGCUUGUUGAAUCCAAUGAAUUUUCCAGCACCAUUUCAAAGUUUUCAUUUAGUCCAAUGAGAGAUCAACAAUGCAUCAUUUACAAAAAUUGUAUAUUGAGAAUGUGAUAUAUAUAUAUACACGAUGCAAUAAACACUUGCCAACUGUAUUUUGAAAUCUUCGCUAUGCUAUCUCUCGCUGUAAAUAGCAUUUUCCUAUAAUUAAUUUGGCAUAAAAGUCUAAUCAUGAUUAUGUUUCGUGUGAUACAUGAGUGCUUGGAAAGAUUAGUGUUAGGAAAGAGUGAUAUUACAAAUGAGUGAAUCAACCCACUAAUGGGAUGGUUACAACCAUAUAUACUACUACAAGACUAAUACUAAUUGUGUCUAAACUAUAUCUCUAAUAAUUAGUGAUAGUUGAGAUGAAAGUUUUCUCAACUAUCAGAUCUUCUUUCUUAGAUCACCCUUUGAUCUUUACAUAAGAAAAAUGCUAUUUACAGCGAGAGAUAACAUAGCGAAGAUUUCUAGAUACAGUUGGCAAGUGUUUAUUGCAUCGUGUAUUUGUUUACUUCCUAUUUUUCAGCCACACCUCCUUGAAUUGUGUCAAAUAGCACAUUGUGAUUGGCUGCUCUUUAUUCUUGAAGAGAUCGUGAUGUUAUUUUUCUAGAGAUAUAGCAUUGCUCUUAAUUAUGUUCGCAUAGUAGCCCUGUCUCUUUUGAGGCAAGGGCGAGGGUUUGGUUGUUGCUCUCGUAGUUGCACUCUUAUCCUUUGAAGUUGAUAAAUGAAACCAACUUCAAUUGACAACAUAAUGAAAGCUCAACAGACAUAAGCAUAAGGUGUUUUGGAAAGUGGCCAUAGUCCAAAAUUAAUUCAGUUUUUUUUUUUAUUUCUUUUCCGGUAAGAAUGAUUGAUUUGGUGAUAAUGACAUGACAUAUAAUUACAAGUCUAACAAGACCCUAUUUGAAAAAAGAUAGAUUACCAAAUGGAGUGCUGAAAUCACUAGUGUCUUUUGGUUUAACUAUGUAGUGUUACUAUUAAUUUUUACUAUUUUUACACUAAGCUCUUCAAAAUGUUAGUGGAUGAUUUUUUCAUGUGCAUAAUACAAAAAAUAUGAAAUUUGCAUGAGUCAGCCUAAAAUUGAAAGGAUCAAUUUAAUAAGCCCUUGAAGACGGGAAGAUGACAAUCGAGUCUGGCAUGGUGUGCUGCAAUUUAAUUAACUCUUAAUCGCAAAUUAUUAAUGUGAUGGUGUUGUUUGUUUUAUUUUGACUCCACUAAGUACACCUUGUUCUUUAUAUGUGUGUGUCUUUCUACUAAGUUGCUUUGGAUUGGAUGGUAUCAAUAUUUUUUAAGUAUAUGUGCUUAGGUUGUUCUAUUUUUGACCACACAAAGCACACCUUAUGAUUCAUGUGUGUCUUUAUUAAAUUGCUUUGCAUAUAUUAAAAGAAAUAAAAAUAAACAACAGGCACAUGGUUGGUGCAAGGAGAAAAUGUUAUUUAACAUGUCUGCAUUAUAUUGAAAUUGCAAGUGAUCUAAUUUUGAGUGUUUUGCAUAGAAAUCUUCUUUGUCAAGGCACUCUUCAGAUUCUCUAGAUCAAGCUACCAUCAUGGAGCUUCAAAAUCCUUUUUCGAAUAUCAUCUUCAUUCUCUCCUUUCUCAUCCUCUUAGUUCUAUUCAAAAUAGUUCAAAGAUGGAGUUUUAACAAUUCGACUACCAAAUUGCCACCAGGACCAUGGAAACUACCCCUCAUAGGAAACUUACAUCAGAUUAUCAGCAGAUCAUUGCCCCAUCAUCUCUUCAAAAUUUUGGCAGAUAAAUAUGGACCUCUAAUGCACCUUAAACUAGGAGAGGUACCAUACGUAAUAGUUAGUUCACCAGAAAUUGCCAAAGAGAUUAUGAAAACACAUGAUCUCAACUUCUGCGACAGGCCAAACCUUCUUUUGUCCAAUAUAUAUAGUUACAAUGCUACAGACAUUGCCUUCGCUGCAUACGGUGAACAUUGGAGGCAAUUACGAAAGAUAUGUGUUAUAGAGCUAUUAAGUGCAAAGCGUGUACAAUCAUUUAGGUCCAUAAGAGAAGAUGAGGUGUCAAACCUUGUUAAAUCAAUAACUGCAAGUGAAGGAUCAGUUGUUAAUCUCACUCGGAAGAUUUUCUCAAUGACAAAUGGGAUAACAGCGCGGGCAGCUUUUGGGAAAAGGAAUAGACACCAAGAUGUGUUCAUACCAGCAUUGGAGAAAGUAGUGGUGCUAUUAGGAAGAUUUGAAAUUGCAGAUUUGUAUCCUUCUAUUAAAUUGCUUCAAUGGAUGACUAGGGAGAAGACCAAAAUGGAAAAACUUCAUACAGAGAUUGAUAUGAUAGCACAAGACAUCAUCGACGAUCACAGAAGUAUUCACAAGGAAGCAAGCAAUGAUGAAGAUCUAGUAGAUGUUCUUCUCAAGAUUCAACAGGAAAAUUAUCACUCAGAACAUCCUUUAACCGAUGACAAUAUGAAAUCAAUCAUCCAGGUUAGUCUAAACCGAAAGUGUUAGCAAGUUUAUUUCACAAUUUAAAAACUAGUUUACAAAUUUGCAUACGCUUAGAAGUCAGAUUUCUAGAGGAAAAAUAAAUAAGAUUAUCUUGAUUAAUAAUGCUCAUUCCGUCCCUAUAUCUAAGCAGUAAGCACCCUUUUAUUAGAGGGAAAGGGUGCUUACAUACAGGGACGGGGGGAGUAGUAUUUUGGAGAGACGUCAAAUUAAUGACUUAACUAUUGGGUAGCGUUGUAUGUAAUGUUAAUGUUAAUCCAUUUGUAGGACAUGUUCCUUGCUGGUACCGAAACAUCGUCACAGGUUCUGUUAUGGGCGAUGUCUGAGAUGGUGAAGAACCCAAAGGUAAUGGAAGAAGCACAAGAUGAAGUAAGUAGAGUGUUUGAUAAAAAGGAGUAUGUGGAUGAGACAGAGUUGCACCAAUUGAUAUACUUAAAGUCCGUCAUCAAAGAAACAUUGAGGUUGCAUCCCGUUGCACCAUUGUUAGUUCCAAGAGAAAGUAGGGAGAGAUGCCAAAUCAAUGGGUAUGAAAUCCCAGCUAAGACAAGGGUAAUGGUUAAUGCUUGGGCUAUUGGAAGAGAUUCAAGGUAUUGGGUUGAAGCUGAGAGUUUUAAACCUGAGAGGUUUGUUAAUAGUCCAAUUGAUUUCAAAGGCACGGACUUCGAAUUCAUACCAUUUGGUGCUGGAAGAAGGAUGUGUCCAGGUAUUUCAUUUGCCAUACCCAAUGUUGAGCUGCCUCUUGCUAAGUUACUUUAUCACUUUGAUUGGAAGCUUCCCAAUGGAAUGAGCCAUCAAGAACUUGAUAUGACUGAGUUUUUUGGGAUUACUGUAGGUAGAAAACACGACCUAUGUUUAAUUCCUACUACUCGUCGUCUUUAAUGUGUAUUAUCUAAGCAAACAAAUUCAAAAACAAUGUUCCUAAUAAAAUUUGUAAUGGUAAACUUUACAUAUAGGUUUACUAUAUGUCGUCUAAAAUUUGUGUAUGAUUGUACCACAAAUAUAGAAUAUGUGUCCAAGCAUUGCAUUUGGUUUAGCCAAUGUUGAACUGCGUCUUGCUGAAUUACUUUAUGACUUUGAUUGAAAGCUUUCCAAUGGAAUGAAUAAUGAAGAACAGUCGUUUGGGCUGACAGUCGGAAGAAAACACGACCUAUGUUCGUUUCCUAUUACAGGUUGUCUAUAAUAUUUGUAUUGUGCACUGCCUUUCAAAAAGAAAUAUUUGUAUUGUCUAACCAAAGAAGUUCACAAUGUGGUUAAUUAAUUACUUAUACUACUUUCUGCAAGGCGUCGUGUAAUUCGUUGUUCACAUUUUUAUUAAGAUUCUACGUUUGACAUUAGAUAACUUGAAAAUCCUGGGAUUUCUUCGGUUAAUCAGUUUGUUCCAACUCCUUCAUCAAAUCAAGAUAUGCCAAAGCAUUUGCAUCAUUUUGCACGCCUAUUUUAGUAUGUUUAAUUUGUAAGGAUUAAGAUUUCUCUCUCGGUUUUCUAUGUAGGACCACGAGAAAGAUGCAACUAAUUUCAUUUUUGUGUCAUGUCUCACUUGGUUCUCAGCAUUUGCAAACAUGCAUGUCGGUAAGUAUGUACGAGCAUGAAACAUUAUUCUUGUUAUUCAUUGCCUAUCCAAAAUAAAUAAAUAAAAUAGUUUUUGUAUUCUUUAAUGGGAAAUGCUAAUUAACUUGUCUAUUUAUGAAAUCUUUAACAUGAGUCAUAAGGGUACAAGUUAACAAGACCCUUCAUUAAUUUACCAAGCUUGUUUAAUGUUUUAACUUCAGGGGACACACAAGGAAUGCGGUGAAAGGAAUUUAGCAACAAAUUCAAAAUUCUUUGUGCUUUUGUACCCAAAUAAAUAGAUAUGUUUUUUUUACCUGAAAUCAUUAAAAUUUCAGGUAACGAUAAGUUAAUUAUUAAAGGAGUAAUGCUAGCAACACUCUUUUGAACACACUCUUUAAUACUACAUUUCUUAUUGGUUUAAAUCAUUGUGAGUCUACACUUUGAAAAUUGAACCUACACAAAGUGAUGGGACAUACAUUAAUUUCAUCUAAUAAAAGAGUGGAUGCUACAAAGAGUGUUCAAAAAUAAAUGUUUCUAACAUUACUAUUAUUGAUGUGUUGCCUCUUAUCUCAUUUUAAUAAAAAUCUCACCACUAGUUCAUAUACUUUACCACUAGUUUCUCACACUACACAUUCUAACACUAGGGUUUAUAAUAUCAUUCUGAUUCACGAACUAGUUAAAAGAUGUUGUUUUUUCAAGGGCGAGGGUUUGGUUGUUGCUCUCUUAGUUGCACUCUUAUCCUUUGAAGUUGAUAAAUAAAUGAAACCAAUUACUUCGAUUGAUUAUGAAAGCUCAAAAGACAUAAGUAUAAGGUGUUUUGGAAAGUGGCCCAUAGACCAAAAUUAAUUCAGAUUUUUUUUCCGGUAAGGGUGAUUGAUUUGGUAAUAAUGACAUAUAAUUACAAGUCUAGCAAGACCCUAUUUGAAAAUGAUAGAUUACCAAAUGGAGUUUAUCUGAAAUCACUAGUGUCUCUUGGUUUAACUAUGUAGUGCUAUUAUUAAUUCUUACAAAUAAUUUAUUUGACAUAAUGACCGAAGUAAAUAAUACAUUAAGCUCUUCAAAAUGUUUGUGGAUGAUUUUUUCAUGUGCAUAAUACAAAAAAUAUAAUUCCACAAAAAAAUUGAUAGGAUCAAUUCAAUUUAAUAAGCCCUUGAAGGAAGAUGACAAUCGAGUCUGACAUGGCGUGCUGCAAUUUAAUUAACUCUUAAUCGCAAAUUAUUAAUAUGAUGGUGUUGGACGUUUCAUUUUGACUCCACAAAGUACACCUUAUUCUUCAUGUGUGUCUUACUUUUUAUUAAAUUGCUUUGGACUGGUUGUUCUAUUUUUUACCACACAAAGCACACCUUAUGCUUCAUUUGUGUCUUUAUUAAAUUGCUUUGCAUAUAUUAAAAAAUAAUAAUAAACAACAGGCACAUGUUUGGUGCAAGGAGAAAAUGUUAUUUAACAUGUCUGCAUUAUAUUGAAAUUGCAAGUGAUCUAAUUUUGAGUGUUUUGCAUAGAAAUCUUCUUUGUCAAGGCACUCUUCAGAUUCUCUAGAUCAAGCUACCAUCAUGGAGCUUCAAAACCCUUUUUCGAAUAUCAUCUUCAUGCUCUCCUUUCUCAUCCUCUUAGUUCUAUUCAAAAUAGUUCAAAGAUGGAGUUUUAACAAUUCCACUACCAAAUUGCCACCAGGACCAUGGAAACUACCCCUCAUAGGAAACUUACAUCAGAUUAUCAGCAGAUCAUUGCCCCAUCACCUCUUCAAAAAGUUGGCAGAAAAAUAUGGACCUUUGAUGCACCUUAAACUAGGAGAGGUACCAUAUGUAAUAGUUAGUUCACCAGAAAUGGCAAAAGAGGUUAUGAAAACACAUGACCUUACAUUUUGUGAUAGGCCAAACCUUCUUUUGUCAACAAUAUGGAGUUACAAUGCUACAAAUAUUGUCUUCGCUACAUACUGUGAACAUUGGAGGCAAGUACGAAAGAU
Molecule: long non-coding RNA, 8249 nt
Filed under: Medicago truncatula (barrel medic)
Lineage: Eukaryota; Viridiplantae; Streptophyta; Magnoliopsida; Fabales; Fabaceae
Description: long non-coding RNA (MTRU_LNC003692)
Rfam family: MIR5269 microRNA precursor family (bases 6699-6777)
Source: RNAcentral